Molecule: small RNA, 493 nt
Filed under: Oryza sativa Japonica Group (Japanese rice)
Lineage: Eukaryota; Viridiplantae; Streptophyta; Magnoliopsida; Poales; Poaceae
Description: sRNA Os03g0143466
Source: RNAcentral
UAGAAACCCAUCCCGCCCAUGCCACCCAUUGCGGGUGCUGCGGCUGCUGCCUCCUCUUCCUUGGGGAUCUCAACAAUAAUAGAUUCUGUGAAUGAAUAUUAGGAAGAGUACCUUGCAGCAUCCACCAGAGCUGUUCUGAUAACUUUUAGUGGGUCAAUGAUACCAGACUUCACCAUGUCAACGUAUUCACCUGGCAGCAUCAUAACCUAGAUCAGUAUUAUCCUGUUCCAAAAGCUUGCCAAUAAUGACAGAUCCUUCUACACCCGCAUUCGAAGCAAUUGUGUGCACUGGGGUCUUCAAAGCAUUUUGAAUGAUCUGGACACCAAUCUUUUGGUCAAAGUUCGCAGUCUGCAAUUUAUCCAGGUCUUUUGAUGCAUACAGAAGGGCAACUCCACCACCUACUACCUGGUACAAUACCCUCCUCUACAGCAGCUUUGGUAGCAUUUAGUGCAUCAGUCACUCUAUCCUUCUUCUCACCAACCUCCGCUUCACU